RNAcentral lists this ribosomal RNA (743 nucleotides) under uncultured eukaryote. RNAcentral's name for it is "bacterial SSU rRNA". It matches the Rfam family "Eukaryotic small subunit ribosomal RNA", at positions 667 to 1426 of the family's 1831-position model. The record is from RNAcentral.
UCUAGUUUGGUGAUAGACCCGCUCGCCAUCUUGUGGAUUUCUCAUUCAUUUUGUUGUUUACUCAAUGAGAUGAAUGACCACUCCGUCACUGAGAGCAAAUUGGAGUGCUCAAAGCAGGCUUGAUAGCUUUGAACAUUUUAGCUUGGAAUGACAAGAUAAGACUUUUGUUUUAUUUUGUUGGUUAUGAAAUGAAAGUAAUGAUUAACAGGAACAGUUGCGGGGGUACUCGUAUUGAAAGGUCAGAGGUGAAAUUCUUGGAUUCUUUCAAGACGAACGACUGCGAAAGCAUUUACCAAGGAUGUUUUCAUUAAUCAAGAACGAAAGCUCGGGGAUCGAAGAUGAUUAGAUACCAUCGUAGUCCGACGCCAUAAACGAUGCCGACUCGGGAUUGGUUUGUAUUUAUAAUAAAAAAAUCAAAUCAGCACCGUAUGAGAAAUCAAAGUCUUUGGGUUCCGGGGGGAGUAUGGUCGCAAGGCUGAAACUUAAAGGAAUUGACGGAAGGGCACACCAGAGGUGGAGCCUGCGGUUUAAUUUGACUCAACACGGGGAAACUUACCAGGUCCAGACAUAAUGAGGAUUGACAGUUUGAAAGCACUUUCUUGAUCUUAUGGGUGGUGGUGCAUGGCCGUUCUUAGUUGGUGGAGUGAUUUGUCUGGUUGAUUCCGAUAACGAACGAGACGGGGAAAGCUAACUAGUUUGUUCAUUAACUUGCGUUAGUGAAAACUUCUUUGCUUGACAACUUG